This 253-nucleotide ribosomal RNA is filed under the name uncultured bacterium. RNAcentral's name for it is "partial 16S ribosomal RNA". It matches the Rfam family "Bacterial small subunit ribosomal RNA", at positions 524 to 776 of the family's 1533-position model. The record is from RNAcentral.
UACGGAGGGUCCAAGCGUUAUCCGGAAUCAUUGGGGUUAAAGGGUCCGUAGGCGGUUUUGUAAGUCAGUGGUGAAAGCCCAUCGCUCAACGGUGGAACGGCCAUUGAUACUGCAAAACUUGAAUUAUUGGGAAGUAACUAGAAUAUGUAGUGUAGCGGUGAAAUGCUUAGAUAUUACAUGGAAUACCAAUUGCGAAGGCAGGUUACUAUCAAUAUAUUGACGCUGAUGGACGAAAGCGUGGGGAGCGAACAGG